UCUAGAGGAAAUUGGUGGCAAGGUAAAGUAGAUACUUAAGCUCCUGUUCUAGACUGCAACACCAACUUCAAGCUUCUUAUGUGCUUUCUGCAGGUUCGCUUUAUUAUUAGGAUCUUGCCUUCCCUUGGCAUAUGAAUUCUCCAUCUAUUUUUUAAGGUAUACAGAAAUAUAGAAUCUAUUUCAGAAAAAAAAAAAAGGGAUGAGUUUUUAGACAUUUAUUUGCUUAAUCUGUAAUUGUCAGCUGAUUAGCAGGAAUACACUACCAUGCAUUCAAUCUCCUCUCUCAACCCACCUAACCACACCCUACCAAAACCAGGAAGAAAAGAAAAAAUGAAAGAUAGGGGAAAAACCACUGAUAUCACUACACAUGUUGAAGGAAUUCAUAAAACCUAGGUGACAGUAAUGGAAGUCGAUGAAAAAUAAAUAAGCAGCUGAUGUGGUUAGAUCUUGUCAGCAAUUUGCAAUGCUUUUUCCAGUAAAGACAUUCAAGUUGCAUGAUUUUGAUAUAGUGCAGCCUCUAUGAAAGACAUGAAGAAAUUGUGCAACACCAAUACUCUUUCUGCUCUUUACUUGGCCGAUUUAUCUAGGCCGUUGAAUAUUGUUUUCAUUUUUCUUUUAAAGCAUGUAAGAAAUAUCAACAAAUAGAUGAAUUGUGAACCUCUUCGAUUAGAAAAGUCAACAUGGAUGCUUAAAGGUUCAAUCCCUAAAUUUUGUAAAUCUUUUCUAUCGUUUGUAGAAACAUGUGAAACUCGAAAAAAAUAGAUGAGCUUAUAAUUCUUUUCUGAUGUACAGGUUUUAACCUGACAAAUCAUU
Molecule: unclassified non-coding RNA, 813 nt
Filed under: Hevea brasiliensis (rubber tree)
Lineage: Eukaryota; Viridiplantae; Streptophyta; Magnoliopsida; Malpighiales; Euphorbiaceae
Source: RNAcentral